CUACACCUGUCGUGCCACGUGUACGUAUACGUUCGUAUAGAGGAGCAUGCGCUGCAGCGCAUGCAACGGUAUUCCAUGCAACAUGCAAAGCUAGCUAAAGGCAUGCUUGCCCCACAUUUUCUCAGCACUACCAGCUUCGUUUGAUGGUCGUUUGAUGCAUUGAUUAUGCUACAAUUUUCUCUUUCAAUGGACUCCCGAUGACACCCACAUCACAUGACCAGCUCCAACCAUGCUCCAAGCAUGCUCCAGUGCAUGCUUCAACCAGUUCCCAAGGCAAGAAUCUCGACUCAAGACGAAAACGUGACACUAUUCUUUCCAGUUCAUCUGCAAGAUUCCUGCUUUUUCUCUUUACCCAUUCAAAACACAUUUUUCUUCUAGCCAUAAUUUUAUUAUUUAGAAGUCAUGAAAAUGAAAUAGUGCAAAUAUAAUCACUCUUUUCUGCUGUUUUAUGUCCAUCCUUUUGUAAAGUUAUAUCCUUGGCUUAGUUGUACCCAAGAAUAAUUAUGGAAUGAUUACCCGUCUUGCUUGAAAGUCUUUCAUGGAAUGUUUUUGCCUAUGCU
This is a long non-coding RNA of Patiria miniata (bat star), 560 nucleotides long. RefSeq lists it as uncharacterized. The record is from RefSeq and is a predicted model, not a curated record. Lineage: Eukaryota; Metazoa; Echinodermata; Asteroidea; Valvatida; Asterinidae. The transcript is spliced from 2 exons.